Molecule: ribosomal RNA, 315 nt
Filed under: uncultured Pediococcus sp.
Lineage: Bacteria; Bacillati; Bacillota; Bacilli; Lactobacillales; Lactobacillaceae
Description: bacterial SSU rRNA
Rfam family: Bacterial small subunit ribosomal RNA
Source: RNAcentral
GGCUGUCUCAGCUCGUGUCGUGAGAUGUUGGGUUAAGUCCCGCAACGAGCGCAACCCUUAUUACUAGUUGCCAGCAUUCAGUUGGGCACUCUAGUGAGACUGCCGGUGACAAACCGGAGGAAGGUGGGGACGACGUCAAAUCAUCAUGCCCCUUAUGACCUGGGCUACACACGUGCUACAAUGGAUGGUACAACGAGUCGCGAAACCGCGAGGUUUAGCUAAUCUCUUAAAACCAUUCUCAGUUCGGACUGUAGGCUGCAACUCGCCUACACGAAGUCGGAAUCGCUAGUAAUCGCGGAUCAGCAUGCCGCUUAU